AACAAUUUGUCCCGCGUCCCACGGCGUUUUAAAAAGGUUCCUAUUUUUGAAACGCCGUGGGACGCGGGACAAAUUGUUAA
Non-coding RNA from Eptesicus fuscus (big brown bat), 80 nucleotides. The record is from Rfam. Lineage: Eukaryota; Metazoa; Chordata; Mammalia; Chiroptera; Vespertilionidae.